RNAcentral lists this long non-coding RNA (3480 nucleotides) under Homo sapiens (human). Its description in RNAcentral is "HSALNT0345700". Lineage: Eukaryota; Metazoa; Chordata; Mammalia; Primates; Hominidae. The record is from RNAcentral.
AAUUGCAUUUUAUUUAUGCAAUCCUUUAUGUCCUCUCCAGCACCCAGGGCCUUGCCUGGCAAUUAGCUGAAACUCAGAUGGCAGUGCCCAGCGACCCUCAGCUCUGACAAUGGCCCUGCCCAGAUGGGCUCCCUGUCCAAACACCACAUUUGGUAUAAAGGCUAUCACAAUUGCAGAGUAUUGAGUACAGAAACCUGUAAUCUAGGGAAGAAUUCAGCCAGAGCAGUUCCUCCUACACCGGGAACAGAGCCUACAGCAAGCAGUGUGGAGACCUUGGUGCUCCAAGAAGGCCUGGCCUCUGGGGCUGCUGCUGAGAAGGUAUCUGUGGGCCUUGGGGCGGACUUGGGGCAGGUGAAGCCUACACAAGAGGAAGGACCACCCCAACUUGUUAGUGAACAGAGGGGAGAACUGAAGACAAACCUCCCUGCCUUUGCUUAGGCCCAGGACUGAAGAAAAUUAAUCGAUGUGUAGUUGAAUGCCACCACUUUACAAGAUAUGGGAGGAGAAGGCCAUGUGACUUGAUAGGAAAAUCGACUUCGUAGAGCCACACAAAUUAACCAAAGACUUUCUCCAGGGAAAGAUCUUUGGGCUGCCGUAAUGAAUCACGUUCGACUCUAAAUUGCAGAGGAGUGGUCUUUGGGAUGCAUAUAGGAAAUUAUUUUGUAAAGAGACAGAAUCCAGGGUUAGAAUCUGAGAGGUGCAGCAGGAGUCAGAGUGGAGACUUGGUGGCUCUAAGGUAGCACAGAAGGAGUCAUUAUGUGAUGGAAGGGCAGUGCCCACUCUCAUAAACCUGGGCUGGAAGUGUGGGUCUCUGUUGAGCAGGUGUACUGCUCACAAAGCCCCCCAGGGGCGUGUGGCCUUGUGCCACUCUCCUUUGUGUAGCUCUUUAAGGAAUUCCAGUGGCUAGGAUAUUUUUUUUUUAACUUUGGUUUUUUGGAAGUAUUUGUGGGUUUCCGGAGAGGAUGCCUGUCCUUCCAUGUUGGUGCAAUAGAGAGGCAUGAGUGUGACUCCCAAAGCAGCUGGAUGGAGCCGUGGUAGAGGCUCCCCAGCUCCGGAUUUGAGAAGACCCAGCAGGGCUGGGAGAAGUGCUGCACAGGAGGCUGAGGGUUUCAUUAGUAUUUACCUAAUGUCAUCUUCCUGUUUGAGGACCCCAUCUGGGAUACCACAGCACAUUUGGUCAUGUCUCCUGAGGCUCCUCUUGGCUGAAUUCAGGAAAGAACUUGAGUUCUACUUUUGCAGUGAAGAACAGAGAACACCUGCAGAAGCUGAGAAUGAAAUGAGCCCACCAGGACUUAGCAACCGUCUUGCUGAGGUUUGGAUUUUGACAGGGUGUGAAUGGUGGUUGGAGAUAAGCUUAUCUGGUUUUCCAGGGGCCAGGAGACCACAGCUAGGUUAGCAUCUGCAUUGCACAUGUUAUAGUAAGGAUGCCUGUUUGCUAUCAAAUUACUCUAACAGCAUUAUUUCCUUUGACUCUAUUUAACAGUCAUGUGAAGCAAACCCUUUCUGUAGAUUGUGCAAAUUUAACUCAAUCUGCAUUGGGCUGGACAUUGUGAUAAAUUACUAGGGAUCUACUUGAAUGACACUUUACAUGCAAACUUUAUUUUUACAUUUUAAUAUAUUCAAACUUAUAUGGUUAGGAGAGGAGUGUGACAGCUUCAAAAAUAGAAGAAAAAUCAUUAAAUGUUGACUGGUAGAGCUGGAAGAGAUCUCAGCAACUACUUUAUAGAUGAGGAAACUAAGACAUAGAGAAGUGGAUAACUUUCCAACAUCAUACAGCCUUUGAACAGUAGAUUCAUUGGAAUAAUUAAAACAGAAGGUCUUCUUUCCCUGCUAGGGGGAUUUCUGCCAUGAACCACUCCUCCUGUAGUACUCAAAGGUCUAACUUGGCUAUGGAAAAGCCUCUAUCUCAGGAAUGUUUAUGUCUUUGGAUCCUUUCCUCUCUUUUACAAAAGAACCCUGGAGAAAAUAAAAAAAAAAGGUCCACAUGGUUAUAAAACACUGAACUUCAGCUUUUUCUGAAGCCACCCUCUUGUCCAAAUUUUGGGGACUUUACGUGGAUGGGAGCAAGCAGUUUAUCUGGGCUUUUUCCUACUUCCUACCUCUCCCAGGACUGGGAGAGUCAACUGAAAACCAAUCAAUAUAUGUUUCAUUUUUGUUUUCUGUAUAAAUAGUUGUCUUAUCUGAAAUGACCUUUUUCCAAGAGCUAAUAGCCAUAAAUUUUUGCAGCUGGACAUGUUUAGAAAUGCCUCUUAGCUAUUUUUGUUGAUUUAUUUUCUUUGUCUGUAUUUGUGCAAUCCAGCUUUGGGCAUAGAAGCAAGCAGCUCUGGUUUCUGGUCCUCUACCUCUAAUGAUUUAAAUUCAGGGGACGUAGUUCUUUUUCUAUAGGAAUGGCCCCGUAUGGGAUUCCAUGGAGUCAUAGCUCAGCCCAGGAGUUAUUAUUCUAUCUUGGAGACUCAUGUUGAAUUCUUUUUGUGGCAACUAUUUCUGCAUUUUCUGCAUUUCUUUCUGAGUCUGCUUUGAAAUGUUUUUAUCUAUCUAUCUAUCUGCCUACCUACCUACUUCCAAUUUCGAUGUCCAAUAAUAUGGUGAUUAUAUAUUAUAGAGUAUUAACUCACUGGCAUAUUAAGUGACCACAAUAAAUGCAAAUGAAAAUAUCAUCUGCUGUGUAGCUCCAUGGAACAGCACAUCUGAAACAUAUUAAGUGACCAUUCCGUAUAUUUAAUUAUAGUCUGAAAAAUUUAUGUAACAUGUGGAUAAAGUUUAGACAUUUUCUCAAAAAGAAGUAAGUGAACUAGAAGUUCUUAAUGGCCUAAUAUGUGCUGGAUUUAUCUCAUUUAACCCUUAGAACAGUCCUGUAAAUUAAGCGUCAUUACCUCCAUCUGAAGAUGUAGAACCUGAGUCUCAAUGGAUCAAAUAACUUGUCUAAAGUCACACAGCUAAUAUUAAUAUAAAGGUACAGCCAGAGUUCUAGGUUGGUCCAAAAGCUGGAAUCUCUGCUCUUUUCAUUAUGCCGUGCUACGUUUAGAGAAAUCUAAGCAAUGAUAGACUUAUGUAAAGGGCUUAGAAUUGUAGCAUUUUGGGUUAAAAAUAAAAAUAAAAGUAAAUAUAAAAAUAUUUUUGUCCCCCUUCAUCUUCACUGUAUUAAUAAUUUCUGAGUUGGAGCAAAGGACACAUGACUGACACAAUAGAGAGAAAUCAUCAUUCCUCUCUGUCCUUUUGCUUCUAGAACAACGUUGUUACCUCUCUGUCUCUGGAUAUCCAUUUUCCAGGCCACAAUAUGUAUGUUCUGAGGUCUAAAGUCAAAAGGAUGCCAAGAAAAUAAGGCAAUCGCUUAAGCCCAGAAUGUAAGACUAAGCAAUAAAACAAUCAGAAUUAUCUGACUUAUAAGCAGGGCUAAACUUAGAUGAAAUUUAGAAAUAGAAAUAAAAGUUGAUCUUUUUCUUCUCAAGCCUCCAGUAUGCUUUCCCUUCUCUUUUAUAC